RNAcentral lists this non-coding RNA (156 nucleotides) under Tritonibacter mobilis. RNAcentral also lists the same sequence under 1 other name. The record is from RNAcentral. Lineage: Bacteria; Pseudomonadati; Pseudomonadota; Alphaproteobacteria; Rhodobacterales; Paracoccaceae.
CGGGUUCUCCCCUUCUCGUGACAGGCAGCAUUCCAGUGGCCUUAAGCAAUUCCGAGGGAGCUGGCUCUGUCCGGAUCCUGGUCCGUUUACCUGGCGCCCACCUGUACAUACAGGUCCUCGGGAAUCAACGCCGCACGGUUGACUGGUGGUUCCCGC